This 497-nucleotide ribosomal RNA is filed under the name uncultured bacterium. Its description in RNAcentral is "partial 16S ribosomal RNA". It matches the Rfam family "Bacterial small subunit ribosomal RNA", at positions 28 to 507 of the family's 1533-position model. The record is from RNAcentral.
GAUGAACGCUGGCGGCGUGCCUAAUACAUGCAAGUCGAGCGAACAGACGAGGAGCUUGCUCCUUUGACGUUAGCGGCGGACGGGUGAGUAACACGUGGAUAACCUACCUAUAAGACUGGGAUAACUUCGGGAAACCGGAGCUAAUACCGGAUAAUAUAUUGAACCGCAUGGUUCAAUAGUGAAAGACGGUUUUGCUGUCACUUAUAGAUGGAUCCGCGCCGCAUUAGCUAGUUGGUAAGGUAACGGCUUACCAAGGCGACGAUGCGUAGCCGACCUGAGAGGGUGAUCGGCCACACUGGAACUGAGACACGGUCCAGACUCCUACGGGAGGCAGCAGUAGGGAAUCUUCCGCAAUGGGCGAAAGCCUGACGGAGCAACGCCGCGUGAGUGAUGAAGGUCUUCGGAUCGUAAAACUCUGUUAUUAGGGAAGAACAAAUGUGUAAGUAACUAUGCACGUCUUGACGGUACCUAAUCAGAAAGCCACGGCUAACUACGUG